RNAcentral lists this long non-coding RNA (1358 nucleotides) under Gallus gallus (chicken). Lineage: Eukaryota; Metazoa; Chordata; Aves; Galliformes; Phasianidae. The record is from RNAcentral.
AUAAAAGUUGUCAGUUACCAAUAAACAUCAUAUUUCUGAAAAGGUAUUCUUCAUUCCUAAACACAUAACUGAGAUUUGCUUUGCACCUUCUUUCACAAAUCACCUUCAGAAUUCUGUUUGCUUGCCUGUUGCUUCGGUCAAGGACAAAGUGACACUCCACAUGCAAAUAUGGCCAGAGCUUAUCCUUCAAUUCCAGUAAAAUAUAAGAAUUUAUAUACCACAACCUACCUUUAAAUUAGUUACCGUGAGAAGGAGAUGUGAAAAUAAUCAAUCAAAAAGACCCAGAAACCCCACACAACUCACCUAUAUUCCAUCGUCUAUGUUUUGCAUCAUCAAAUUGCUGCCUCAAAACUAGGAAGUCUAUGACAUCUGGCAUGUCAUGGUACUUCAUGGUGAAUGAUCCUCCAGUUAGUUUACCCGUAUCAGGGUCAAGAAAAGCUAGUUUAAGACAGCAGAGAGUAGGCAAUCCCACUUCAUACUUAAUCCCAACUAUUUUCAUCAACUCUUGCUCCCGUAAUUCCAUUUUAUGCCAUGGUUGUUUUUUGGGAUUAAUACUAUAUAUUUUGUUCUUCUUAGCCAUUACAACAUAUGCUUCAUGACCUUGUCGGAAAUAGUAGACCUCAUCCCCCAUCUGUGGUACAAAUGGGCAACGACGAGGAACAGUGUCUGUAAUCCAUGCUGAAGGCAGCCAUUCUUCCAGUGUCAAGCCAUUUUCUGCCAGAACUCCUACGGCCAGCCUCUUCUGUUUUCUCUCUUUGGGUUUUCUCUUCUUUGGUGAUGUUGAUGGUCCAUCUUUCUCCUCGCUCCCUUUCUUCCUUUCCUUUUUAAUUUGCUUCUUUUGUUUUUCAGGUCCUUCCUCAUCUUCUGAACUACUUUCUGCUUUUUUUGUUUUAAGCUUAGGAAUUUUCUUUGGUGGCUGCAGAUUGAUUCCUGCAUCUGCUGUCCAGUCAGAAUAAUCACUAGAGUAGUCACUAGAACUGCCAUCGCUGUGCCAUGCUCUUUCAUCAUCUUCUGAUGUUCCACCACUGGCAACAACAACUUCCCCUUCAUCUGAGGAACUGUGUCCAUUUUCUAACUCUUCAGCAGGCCUUGCAGGUUCUUCUACCGCGUAUCUGGUACGGUAGUUAUGCUGGUUAGCUUGCUGUUUUCUUGAGUCAUUAGUGUCUAGUAAAUGAUCAUGAGAAUGGUUCUUAGAGAAAGUAGGUAUUUUGUUCUCUCUCUGAAUGUGACUCAUCACAUGUUUUCUUUUCUCUUCUGAUCGAUACACCCUUACUUCUUCUUCUCCCUUCGCUGUUCUCCAUUCUUCCUGCCUGGCCACACCAGAAGACAGUUCAGGCACCACAACCCUCCGACUCCAA